This 432-nucleotide ribosomal RNA is filed under the name Triticum aestivum (bread wheat). RNAcentral describes it as "partial small subunit ribosomal RNA". Lineage: Eukaryota; Viridiplantae; Streptophyta; Magnoliopsida; Poales; Poaceae. The record is from RNAcentral.
AUGAAUGUGCUAAGUUGGAACUGCCGGGGAGGGGGGAAUCCUCGGACAGUUCGUGAGUUAGCGACGAUCUCACAGUCGCAUUCCCCAAACUUGGUGUUUCUGUGUGAGACUAGGCAGAAAGCUGAUAAGAUGAGAAGGAUCCGUGGUCACCUUGGUUUGAAGGGAUUCAUGGGUGUGGAUAGCAAUGGAAUGAGUGGUGGUUUGGCUUCGUUCUGGCAUGAGUCGUAUGAGGUGAAGAUUUUGGAUAAGGAUGAUAUAUAUAUUGACGCCCUUGUGCGUGUUACGGAGGGUGCAACUCAAUGGAGGAUUACAUGCGUGUAUGGAGAACCAAGAGUUGAGAACCGGCAUAUUAUGUGGGACAAGCUACAUCAGCUAAAGACUACAAGUAAUGCCCCUUGGCUAGUGGUGGGUGAUUUCAAUGAGGCGUUGUGA